GAUGAACGCUGGCGGCGUGCCUAAUACAUGCCAGUCGAGCGAACAGACGAGGAGCUUGCUCCUCUGACGUUAGCGGCGGACGGGUGAGUAACACGUGGAUAACCUACCUAUAAGACUGGGAUAACUUCGGGAAACCGGAGCUAAUACCGGAUAAUAUAUUGAACCGCAUGGUUCAAUAGUGAAAGACGGUUUUGCUGUCACUUAUAGAUGGAUCCGCGCCGCAUUAGCUAGUUGGUAAGGUAACGGCUUACCAAGGCAACGAUGCGUAGCCGACCUGAGAGGGUGAUCGGCCACACUGGAACUGAGACACGGUCCAGACUCCUACGGGAGGCAGCAGUAGGGAAUCUUCCGCAAUGGGCGAGAGCCUGACGGAGCAACGCCGCGUGAGUGAUGAAGGUCUUCGGAUCGUAAAACUCUGUUAUUAGGGAAGAACAAAUGUGUAAGUAACUAUGCACGUCUUGACGGUACCUAAUCAGAAAGCCACGGCUAACUACGUG
RNAcentral lists this ribosomal RNA (497 nucleotides) under uncultured bacterium. RNAcentral's name for it is "partial 16S ribosomal RNA". It matches the Rfam family "Bacterial small subunit ribosomal RNA", at positions 28 to 507 of the family's 1533-position model. The record is from RNAcentral.